Mastomys coucha (southern multimammate mouse) is the source of this 1258-nucleotide long non-coding RNA. RefSeq lists it as uncharacterized. The record is from RefSeq and is a predicted model, not a curated record. The transcript has 5 exons. Lineage: Eukaryota; Metazoa; Chordata; Mammalia; Rodentia; Muridae.
AGGCCAAUCAGGGAGCUGCCUGCAGCACAGAGAUAACAGGAGGCCUUGUUAAGGCGUUGACUCUGUAACCCAUGGGCUUGAAUGCAGAGUUCUUCUCGAGGACACCUCCAGGGGCCGACAAAGUACAGUGACAUUUCUACCUGCCCAUGUUCCUUUUGCAGGGAGCUCCUGUCCAGGGAGCCUUGUGGCUGAGCCCACCCUGCCACAGUACCUGGGAUUACACUGCAUGAGCAGCCAUGCCUGAGUGGGAUUUGAACUCAGGUCUUUACAUUUGCAUGGCCCUGGGGGAAACAAGAGUAAACAAAAACAGUCCAAAAAGACCCAGAAGUGAAGGAGAGUCUGACCAUACCAAUUCCAGAAUCUAAGGAGUGUGGUUAACCUCACAGUGUGGACAUUGUGCCACCCAACCUCUCAUCCCUAGACUCAGGAGCCUGCUCACUCCAAGUUUGAGAGGAGUCUCUGUAGUCGAACCUGAUACCCAGGCCUGGAAAAUAAGAGAAUCUCCAACAGGAAGACAGCCUGCUGGGGGACGAGCUCUGUGCUCCACACACAAAGGAGAGUAAGAGCAGAGGGGGUGAUGGGAUCAUCACCCUGACUUCUCCCUUGUAAAAGCUCCUGUACAGAGUUGGGUCUGGAUGAGCUGCAAAAUGGCAGAGAGGAGCAAGGAAGCCUUUUGCAGAUCCCUCUGGAGCACUGACUUCUUGGGCCAGGCUCACAGCAAAUAUCCAAGCAGUGUUUGCUGCACAGCUGAAGGUGGCCACUGCUGAAAGGAAGCACAAAAACCAAACCUGCUUUCAACACCACUGCCUCCCUUCCCACUGGAGCCCAAGAAAAACAUCUCUACUCACUCAGCCUGCAGCUCCAGCACACACGAGGCCAGGAGAGGCUGUGGGAGGAGGAAGUGUUGCUGCCUAUGUGCUGGGCUCUAAGGCCUGAAUGAUAUUCCAUCGUGACAUCGGUUGUGAUAAGGUCUGGGGGCCUGUUGACCCCAGUAGGCUUGUCACAGAUAUAUCAUCUAAGAGGCAAGGUAACUGAGACAUAAACAACAUCACAUUGUUUAGACGCAACACAGAGAACUUCGGCAACUUGUCAGUGGCUGCACAGCUAGAAAAUGGUAGAUUGGAUUCAAACCUGGCUGCUGGGCACCUACACCUACAUGGCAUGUCAGGACAGCAGUGUCUGAGACAUGUUUUGAAACAGAAACAGCUUCUCUCUGAGACUGGGAACUCCAGUGUUAAUAAAUCAGAUUAGAGCAGUG